This 562-nucleotide long non-coding RNA is filed under the name Nicotiana tabacum (common tobacco). RNAcentral's name for it is "long non-coding RNA (NTAB_LNC010248)". The record is from RNAcentral. Lineage: Eukaryota; Viridiplantae; Streptophyta; Magnoliopsida; Solanales; Solanaceae.
UAGCAAAAUGUUUGUUGCACUUCAGACCUUUUGGCCUUAAGUGCAUCUGAAGAGCAAUUUUUAUUUCAGACCUAUUGACCUUAAGUGUAGCAAAACGAUUGUUGCACUUCAGACCUUUUGGCCUUAAGUGCAUCUUAAGUGCAAUUAUUCACUUCAGGUUUAUUGGCCUUAAGUGUAGCAAAAUAUUUGUUGUACAUCAGACCUUUUGGCCUUAAGUGCAUCUGAAGUGUAAUUUUUCACUUUAGAAUUAUUGGCCUUAAGUGUAUCAAAAUGUUUAUUGCACUUCAGACCUUUUGGUCUUAAGUGCAUCUGAAGUGCAAUUUUUCACUUCAGACCUAUUGGCCUUAAGUGUAUCAAAACGUUUGUUGCACUUCAAACCUUUUGGCCUUAAGUGCAUCUUAAGUAUAAUUUUUCACAUCAGACUUAUUGGCCUUAAGUGUAUCAAAACGUUUGUUGCACUUCUGACCUUUUGGCCUUAAGUGCAUCUGAAGUGUAAUUUUUCACUUCAGACUUAUUGGCCUUAAGUGCAGCAAAACGUUUGUUGCCCUACAGACCUUUUGGC